Molecule: long non-coding RNA, 427 nt
Filed under: Callithrix jacchus (white-tufted-ear marmoset)
Lineage: Eukaryota; Metazoa; Chordata; Mammalia; Primates; Cebidae
Description: lncRNA (ENSCJAG00000073478.1)
Source: RNAcentral
CCGAGGAGCCCUUGGGCCCUGAAGAACAGUAGCGAGACCCCGGCCACACUAGCGCUGGCUCAGGUGAGUCUCAGAGCCGCACGGGACCCUAGUGUGACCCAGCACAUUCCCAGCUGUGGUGGCCACAGGCAGAGACCCCUUCUGCUUGAGGAAAGGAGAGGGAAGAGGAAAGGAGACCCCACAGAGGACGAGGACAUCAGUAUGAACAACCCAGUUGGAACAUAAUACCAAUGAGAAAGAGAAGCCACGGGGAGAGGAAUGCAGAACCCUCCCACCCACCUGCUCUCAGCUGAGAGUCCAUCUGGGCCUCCAGUGGGCAAGGACAAAAAACUCCAUUUGGCUGAGAAGUGACUGGCACUGGGUCAAAGCCAAACAAAUCCUCGGUGGGAAUUUAGCUCACACCUUGAUUUUCUGUUCAUUAAAUUUC